RNAcentral lists this microRNA (21 nucleotides) under Apis mellifera (honey bee). RNAcentral's name for it is "ame-miR-9865-5p". Lineage: Eukaryota; Metazoa; Arthropoda; Insecta; Hymenoptera; Apidae. The record is from miRBase by way of RNAcentral.
UGAUUUAUGUGGUGAUUGUGC